Molecule: ribosomal RNA, 774 nt
Filed under: uncultured Neocallimastigales
Lineage: Eukaryota; Fungi; Neocallimastigomycota; Neocallimastigomycetes; Neocallimastigales
Description: partial large subunit ribosomal RNA
Rfam family: Eukaryotic large subunit ribosomal RNA
Source: RNAcentral
UAUGUGAUCGUCUCUCGCAUAUCAAUAAGCGGAGGAAAAGAAACUAACAAGGAUUCCCCUAGUAACGGCGAGUGAAGCGGGAAGAGCUCAAAUUUGAAAUCUUAAAGGGUUUCCCUUUACGAAUUGUAGUUUAAAGAAGUGUUUUCUGUUGAGGUUUUGGUAAAAGUUCUUUGGAAUAGGACAUCAUAGAGGGUGAGAAUCCCGUAUUUGACCUUUACUUUCAACUUUGUGAUACACUUUCAAAGAGUCGGAUUGUUUGGGAAUGCAGUCCAAAAUGGGUGGUAAAUUUCAUCUAAAGCUAAAUAUUGGCGAGAGACCGAUAGCGAACAAGUACCGUGAGGGAAAGAUGAAAAGGACUUUGAAAAGAGAGUUAAACAGUACGUGAAAUUGUCAAAAGGGAAGCGUUUGACACCAGUGUUGUUUUUCUGAAAAUCAAUUAAAGAACUGUUUAUGCUAAGCUGUUUAGACUUUAUCAGCUAUCUGUUUAGUUUUAGGCUUUUCUUUAAUGCACUUUUCAGUUAACAAGUCAACAUCAAUUUCUUUUGCUGUAAAAAAGCUUGAGGAAGGUGGCUUGAGAUUCGUCUUAAGUGUUUAUAGCCUCUUGCCUAUGCAGUCGGAGAGAUUGAGGUCUGCAGCGUAGAUCCUUCGGGGCUAAAUGCAUUUGUGCUAAGUUAUAGCAUUUUAUAGACAACUUGUUGACUAUGAUUUGUCUUGCAGCUUACUCGCUUAUGUUAUUUUACCUACGCUUAGGAUGUUGAUCUACAGAGCGAGAGU